AUGUUCCCUGAAUCUGUUGCCAACCUGAUGGGUGGCACGGUGCUCAACACAUGGCCGGGCGGCAAGCACACCGACACCGUUAUGGGCAACGGACGACGGCCACCCAGGGACUCCAAACCUGCUAUUGUCAAGGGUUACGUAGCUGUUGACCUCGAUGGACACCCCUUCCCCGACACUCUCGAAGUCAUUGUCCACACUGCGCCCAACUGCUACGACCUCAACCUGCUUGGGCAAAGCAAUGGCACCGUAGGUGUCAGCGUUGCAUUCGGCGGAUCCGGUGGACCGGACUGUGCCCCGCGGUCCGCCUAG
RNAcentral lists this ribosomal RNA (309 nucleotides) under Triticum aestivum (bread wheat). RNAcentral describes it as "partial small subunit ribosomal RNA". The record is from RNAcentral. Lineage: Eukaryota; Viridiplantae; Streptophyta; Magnoliopsida; Poales; Poaceae.